AGCUAGCGAAGGCAUGAUGGUUCCCGCGCCCACCCGGGCCGGGAUGAAAAGGGAACACGGUGCGGUUCUGCCCGGAUAAAACCGGAAAGAACCUAGUCCGGGACUGCCCCCGCAACUGUAAGCGGAGAGCGAUGUCGAGAUACCACUGGCCUUGAAGGCUGGGAAGGUCGGCAAAGCGAUGACCCGCAAGUCAGGAGACCUGCCAUCGGAUGCAAAACUGA
This 221-nucleotide non-coding RNA is filed under the name Ruegeria sp. ANG-R. RNAcentral also lists the same sequence under 1 other name. The record is from RNAcentral. Lineage: Bacteria; Pseudomonadati; Pseudomonadota; Alphaproteobacteria; Rhodobacterales; Roseobacteraceae.